This 28-nucleotide non-coding RNA is filed under the name Mus musculus (house mouse). RNAcentral also lists the same sequence under 1 other name. The record is from RNAcentral. Lineage: Eukaryota; Metazoa; Chordata; Mammalia; Rodentia; Muridae.
UAUCAAAGAAGGUUUCAGGAGACUAUGC